RNAcentral lists this ribosomal RNA (1372 nucleotides) under uncultured bacterium. Its description in RNAcentral is "bacterial SSU rRNA". It matches the Rfam family "Bacterial small subunit ribosomal RNA", at positions 28 to 1381 of the family's 1533-position model. The record is from RNAcentral.
GAUGAACGCUGGCGGUGUGCCUAAUACAUGCAAGUCGAGCGAACGGACGAGAAGCUUGCUUCUCUGAUGUUAGCGGCGGACGGGUGAGUAACACGUGGAUAACCUACCUAUAAGACUGGGAUAACUUCGGGAAACCGGAGCUAAUACCGGAUAAUAUUUUGAACCGCAUGGUUCAAAAGUGAAAGACGGUCUUGCUGUCACUUAUAGAUGGAUCCGCGCUGCAUUAGCUAGUUGGUAAGGUAACGGCUUACCAAGGCAACGAUGCAUAGCCGACCUGAGAGGGUGAUCGGCCACACUGGAACUGAGACACGGUCCAGACUCCUACGGGAGGCAGCAGUAGGGAAUCUUCCGCAAUGGGCGAAAGCCUGACGGAGCAACGCCGCGUGAGUGAUGAAGGUCUUCGGAUCGUAAAACUCUGUUAUUAGGGAAGAACAUAUGUGUAAGUAACUGUGCACAUCUUGACGGUACCUAAUCAGAAAGCCACGGCUAACUACGUGCCAGCAGCCGCGGUAAUACGUAGGUGGCAAGCGUUAUCCGGAAUUAUUGGGCGUAAAGCGCGCGUAGGCGGUUUUUUAAGUCUGAUGUGAAAGCCCACGGCUCACCCGUGGAGGGUCAUUGGAAACUGGAAAACUUGAGUGCAGAAGAGGAAAGUGGAAUUCCAUGUGUAGCGGUGAAAUGCGCAGAGAUAUGGAGGAACACCAGUGGCGAAGGCGACUUUCUGGUCUGUAACUGACGCUGAUGUGCGAAAGCGUGGGGAUCAAACAGGAUUAGAUACCCUGGUAGUCCACGCCGUAAACGAUGAGUGCUAAGUGUUAGGGGGUUUCCGCCCCUUAGUGCUGCAGCUAACGCAUUAAGCACUCCGCCUGGGGAGUACGACCGCAAGGUUGAAACUCAAAGGAAUUGACGGGGACCCGCACAAGCGGUGGAGCAUGUGGUUUAAUUCGAAGCAACGCGAAGAACCUUACCAAAUCUUGACAUCCUUUGACAACUCUAGAGAUAGAGCUUUCCCCUUCGGGGGACAAAGUGACAGGUGGUGCAUGGUUGUCGUCAGCUCGUGUCGUGAGAUGUUGGGUUAAGUCCCGCAACGAGCGCAACCCUUAAGCUUAGUUGCCAUCAUUAAGUUGGGCACUCUAAGUUGACUGCCGGUGACAAACCGGAGGAAGGUGGGGAUGACGUCAAAUCAUCAUGCCCCUUAUGAUUUGGGCUACACACGUGCUACAAUGGACAAUACAAAGGGCAGCGAAACCGCGAGGUCAAGCAAAUCCCAUAAAGUUGUUCUCAGUUCGGAUUGUAGUCUGCAACUCGACUACAUGAAGCUGGAAUCGCUAGUAAUCGUAGAUCAGCAUGCUACGGUGAAUACGUUCCCGGGUCU